UUUCCGUAGGUGAACCUGCGGAAGGAUCAUUCAUAAUAAGUGUUUUAUGGCACUCUUUUAAAUCCAUAUCCACCUUGUGUGCAAUGUCAGGGUUGGUCUCUUUUUGAUCAGCCCCAAACAUCAACUAUUAUCUCAACUCUUUGUCUGAAAAAUAUUAUGAAUAAAACAAUUCAAAAUACAACUUUCAACAACGGAUCUCUUGGCUCUC
RNAcentral lists this unclassified non-coding RNA (208 nucleotides) under plant metagenome. RNAcentral describes it as "partial contains small subunit ribosomal RNA, internal transcribed spacer 1, and 5.8S ribosomal RNA". The record is from RNAcentral.